RNAcentral lists this ribosomal RNA (535 nucleotides) under uncultured bacterium. RNAcentral's name for it is "bacterial SSU rRNA". It matches the Rfam family "Bacterial small subunit ribosomal RNA", at positions 773 to 1301 of the family's 1533-position model. The record is from RNAcentral.
CCAAUAGACGUACCCGGGUAGUCCUAGCCAUCAACGAUGGAUACUGGAUAUUCCUGCACUCAUGUGGGAGUGUCGAAGCCAACGCGUUAAGUAUCCCGCCUGGGGAGUACGGUCGCAAGAUUGAAACUCAAAGGAAUUGACGGGGGCCCGCACAAGCGGUGGAGCAUGUGGUUUAAUUCGACGCAACGCGAAGAACCUUACCUGGGCUUGAACUGUCGGUAUAGGGACCCGAAAGGGCGACGAUCCCGGGCAACCGGGAAGCCGAUAGAGGUGCUGCAUGGCUGUCGUCAGCUCGUGUCGUGAGAUGUUGGGUUAAGUCCCGCAACGAGCGCAACCCUUGUCUUUAGUUGCCAGCGAGUCAUGUCGGGCACUCUAAGGAGACUGCCUCGGAUAACGAGGAGGAAGGUGGGGAUGACGUCAAGUCAGCAUGGCCUUUAUGUCCAGGGCUACACACGUGCUACAAUGGGCGGCACAGAAAGGACGCGAGACCGCGAGGUCAACGCCAACCCUUAAAACCGUUCUCAGUUCGGAUUGC